AAACAUUUCUGGGAGGAAAAUGUUUUUAGUUCAACCUGCUCAAUGCUUUAGUAAAUAGCUGCAGUAUUUUGACUGUACAAAGGUAGCAUAAUCAUUAGUCUCUUGAUUAGGGGCUAGUAUGAAUGGUUAAACAGAAUAUUAUCUUUUUUGAUUAUAUGAAAUUUUAAUUUAAAGAUUAUGUAAAAAUGCAUAUGUGUUUAAAAGGGACGAUAAGACCCUAUAGAAUUUUAAAGUAUUUGAGUAAGUAUUUUUUUGUUGGGGUGACAGUAAAUAAACGUUUACUUAUCUUUCAUGAAUAAAUGAUUAGAUGAUCCUUUAAUUUAGAUAAGAAGAUAAAAUUACCUUAGGGAUAACAGCAUAAUUUUUUUAAAAAGAUCAUAUUAAUAAAAAAGAUUAUGACCUCGAUGUUGAAUUAAAAUAAGAAUUUGGUGUAGAAGCUAAAUUU
RNAcentral lists this ribosomal RNA (445 nucleotides) under Spanioneura longicauda. RNAcentral's name for it is "partial 16S ribosomal RNA". The record is from RNAcentral. Lineage: Eukaryota; Metazoa; Arthropoda; Insecta; Hemiptera; Psyllidae.